UACGUAGGGUGCAAGCGUUAAUCGGAAUUACUGGGCGUAAAGCGUGCGCAGGCGGUUUUGUAAGUCUGUCGUGAAAUCCCCGGGCUCAACCUGGGAAUUGCGAUGGAGACUGCAAGGCUAGAAUCUGGCAGAGGGGGGUAGAAUUCUACGUGUGAGCAGUGAAAUGCGUAGAGAUGUGGAGGAACACCGAUGGCGAAGGCAGCCCCCUGGGUCAAGAUUGACGCUCAUGCACGAAAGCGUGGGGAGCAACAGG
This 253-nucleotide ribosomal RNA is filed under the name uncultured bacterium. RNAcentral's name for it is "partial 16S ribosomal RNA". It matches the Rfam family "Bacterial small subunit ribosomal RNA", at positions 524 to 775 of the family's 1533-position model. The record is from RNAcentral.